RNAcentral lists this ribosomal RNA (453 nucleotides) under uncultured bacterium. Its description in RNAcentral is "bacterial SSU rRNA". It matches the Rfam family "Bacterial small subunit ribosomal RNA", at positions 355 to 804 of the family's 1533-position model. The record is from RNAcentral.
UAAGGAAUAUUGGACAAUGGUCGCAAGACUGAUCCAGCCAUGCCGCGUGCAGGAUGACAGCCCUAUGGGUCGUAAACUGCUUUUUGUGCGAGAAAAAACCCCUCUACGUGUAGAGGGCUGAUUGUAUCGUAAGAAUAAGGAUCGGCUAACUCCGUGCCAGCAGCCGCGGUAAUACGGAGGAUCCAAGCGUUAUCCGGAUUCAUUGGGUUUAAAGGUGCGUAGGCGGAAUGAUAAGUCAGUGGUGAAAGCCUGCAGCUUAACUGCAGAACUGCCAUUGAUACUGUCAAUCUUGAGUACAUUUGAUGUGGCGGAAUGUGUCAUGUAGCGGUGAAAUGCUUAGAUAUGACACAGAACACCGAUUGCGAAGGCAGCUCACAAAACUGUAACUGACGCUGAGGCACGAAAGCGUGGGUAUCAAACAGGAUUAGAUACCCCGGUAGUCCCUGAGCGGGC